GUUAUGGGUGGGAGGUCAAGUUUGACAAUUGGAAACUCCAGGUUCAUCGAUGUUUAUAACCCGGAGACGCACACAUGGUGCGAGAUGAAAAAUGGCUGUGUCAUGGUUACUGCACAAGCCGUGCUCGGGAAGGAGCUCAUUUGCAUGGAGUGGAAAAAUCAACGGAAGCUAGCAAUAUUUAACCCUGCGGAAAAUUCGUGGAAGAUGGUGCCAGUUCCGGUGACAGGGAGCUCGAGCGUUGGGUUUCAAUUUGGCAUACUAGAUGGUAAGCUUUUGCUGUUCCCUGUACAGGAGUAUCCGGGUUAUAACACCCUAUUGUAUGAUCCGAAUGCUGCCUCUGGGUCUCAAUGGCAAACUUCUGAGAUAAAGCCGUCGGGCUUGUGCCUAUGUAGCGUGACAAUUAAGGCUUGAGUUGAGUAUGUUAUCGUCGUAAAACUAAGAUUUCAUUAAGCUGUACGAUUUUGGGAUUAAGUUUGUUUACUGUAAUAUUUAUAGAUCAUGAGAUUAUCU
RNAcentral lists this long non-coding RNA (510 nucleotides) under Olea europaea (common olive). RNAcentral describes it as "long non-coding RNA (OEUR_LNC004939)". Lineage: Eukaryota; Viridiplantae; Streptophyta; Magnoliopsida; Lamiales; Oleaceae. The record is from RNAcentral.